AUUGAACGCUGGCGGCAUGCCUUACACAUGCAAGUCGAACGGUAACAGGUCUUCGGAUGCUGACGAGUGGCGAACGGGUGAGUAAUACAUCGGAACGUGCCCAGACGUGGGGGAUAACGAGGCGAAAGCUUUGCUAAUACCGCAUACGAUCUAAGGAUGAAAGCAGGGGACCGCAAGGCCUUGCGCGUUUGGAGCGGCCGAUGGCAGAUUAGGUAGUUGGUGGGAUAAAAGCUUACCAAGCCGACGAUCUGUAGCUGGUCUGAGAGGACGACCAGCCACACUGGGACUGAGACACGGCCCAGACUCCUGCGGGAGGCAGCAGUGGGGAAUUUUGGACAAUGGGCGAAAGCCUGAUCCAGCAAUGCCGCGUGCAGGAUGAAGGCCUUCGGGUUGUAAACUGCUUUUGUACGGAACGAAAAGGCUCUGGCUAAUACCUGGGGCACAUGACGGUACCGUAAGAAUAAGCACCGGCUAACUACGUG
Molecule: ribosomal RNA, 482 nt
Filed under: uncultured bacterium
Lineage: Bacteria
Description: partial 16S ribosomal RNA
Rfam family: Bacterial small subunit ribosomal RNA
Source: RNAcentral